Molecule: small RNA, 28 nt
Filed under: Bombyx mori (domestic silkworm)
Lineage: Eukaryota; Metazoa; Arthropoda; Insecta; Lepidoptera; Bombycidae
Description: ovarian small RNA-18396
Source: RNAcentral
UAAAGUCACCUGUCCCUUACGUACUUUG